GAACAUCACUCAGAGAGCGCGGAACAAGAAAUGCAUCACAAAGAAAAAGAUUAAUCCAACAAAAUGAAGUUUGUGAUUGUUCUUGCCUGUCUGUUGGCCAUCGUUCUUCCUCUUGAGGCCAGUAGUAGUGAAAGUGGAAGCAAUGAAAGACAGAGAUUCCCAUCUUGUCCACCAUGUCCAGAUAUUUUAACCAAGGAUAUAAUUGACGCUUUAGGAAAUGCUCUAGUCGCUCUCCAAGCAGCCCCUCCAGUGGCUGAAUGAAACCUAUUGACUGAUCUUGCCGAGAUGAUCUUUACAAGAUACCUAGAGGAUAGCCUUUUGCUUCUGGCACAGUCCAAUGAAUGACCCCGAUUUAGAUGGAUUCUUUAAAAAAGCUUUGCAAUGCUUUCCUUUGAAUAAAUUUGAGCAGCAUUA
This is a long non-coding RNA of Ahaetulla prasina, 414 nucleotides long. RefSeq lists it as uncharacterized. NCBI's taxonomy places the organism in Eukaryota, Metazoa, Chordata, Lepidosauria, Squamata, Colubridae. The record is from RefSeq and is a predicted model, not a curated record. The transcript has 4 exons.